CCGCGACCUCAGGUCAGGCGGGACUACCCGCUGAGU
Molecule: ribosomal RNA, 36 nt
Filed under: Veronica vandewateri
Lineage: Eukaryota; Viridiplantae; Streptophyta; Magnoliopsida; Lamiales; Plantaginaceae
Description: partial 28S ribosomal RNA
Source: RNAcentral